UAAAGCGUGCGCAGCGGUUAUGUAAGACAGAUGUGAAAUCCCCGGGCUCAACCUGGGAACUGCAUUUGUGACUGCAUGGCUAGAGUACGGUAGAGGGGGAUGGAAUUCCGCGUGUAGCAGUGAAAUGCGUAGAUAUGCGGAGGAACACCGAUGGCGAAGGCAAUCCCCUGGACCUGUACUGACGCUCAUGCACGAAAGCGUGGGGAGCAAACAGGAUUAGAUACCCGAGU
This 230-nucleotide ribosomal RNA is filed under the name uncultured bacterium. RNAcentral's name for it is "partial 16S ribosomal RNA". It matches the Rfam family "Bacterial small subunit ribosomal RNA", at positions 561 to 791 of the family's 1533-position model. The record is from RNAcentral.